RNAcentral lists this long non-coding RNA (638 nucleotides) under Coturnix japonica (Japanese quail). RNAcentral's name for it is "lncRNA (ENSCJPG00005017943.1)". The record is from RNAcentral. Lineage: Eukaryota; Metazoa; Chordata; Aves; Galliformes; Phasianidae.
CUCCUGGCUUGCUUUUCUGCAAAUUCAACCAGUUAAUGCAGCUGAAAGCAGGUCUGGCUGACCAGCUUGUUGGACGUGAUGUUCUUGCCCCAUAUUGUCAGGUGAGAAUACAACACUGACUGCAAGAGCCGAGCUGUACUACAGACAGGGCAACAAGGAUCCCCUGCCUCAGAGAAGUAGCAAAACAGACAUGAAGCAUGAUCAUCUCUGCUUCAUAAUGGAAGACAGAAGCAUGGGAGACUUGAGACAAACAAAAGGAGGAAGACGAGAAAGAAGGUUGUUAAAGCUUUAAAUCACUGCAUGGUGUGACCAGAAAGGUGGCUUCUGACAGCAGCAAGCCAAGUCCAUCAAGCAGCUGUACAUGUGAUCCAACACCACCAGCAGCCAUCCAACCUACAGGCACUGGACUUUGCACUGAAGGGAUCCAUUCACAAGCUCUGACCUCUGUGCAGUGACUUCUGGCAGGGAAGAGUAACAGCCAGCACUAAUACCUUCCUAAAAAUGCUUUAGUUGACAGCCUUUUCCAGUUUUGACAUUAUCAUUCAAGUCAAUGCCACGUCAGAACGGGAGAAGUAUACUGACAUAUAUUUGCUGAUGUGAAACACAAUAAAAAGUGAUGCACAGCUGUUAACUCUCCA